RNAcentral lists this transfer RNA (76 nucleotides) under subsurface metagenome. Its description in RNAcentral is "tRNA-Lys". It matches the Rfam family "tRNA". Rfam says of the family: Transfer RNA (tRNA) molecules are approximately 80 nucleotides in length. Their secondary structure includes four short double-helical elements and three loops (D, anti-codon, and T loops). The record is from RNAcentral.
GGGCCGUUAGCUCAGUUGGCAGAGCACCUGACUUUUAAUCAGGGUGUCGCAGGUUCGAGCCCUGCACGGCUCACCA